GUACACUCCUGCGGGAGGCAGCAGUGGGGAAUAUUGCACAAUGGGCGCAAGCCUGAUGCAGCCAUGCCGCGUGUAUGAAGAAGGCCUUCGGGUUGUAAAGUACUUUCAGCGGGGAGGAAGGCGAUAAGGUUAAUAACCUUGUCGAUUGACGUUACCCGCAGAAGAAGCACCGGCUAACUCCGUGCCAGCAGCCGCGGUAAUACGGAGGGUGCAAGCGUUAAUCGGAAUUACUGGGCGUAAAGCGCACGCAGGCGGUCUGUCAAGUCGGAUGUGAAAUCCCCGGGCUCAACCUGGGAACUGCAUUCGAAACUGGCAGGCUAGAGUCUGGUAGAGGGGGGUAGAAUUCCAGGUGUAGCGGUGAAAUGCGUAGAGAUCUGGAGGAAUACCGGUGGCGAAGGCGGCCCCCUGGACAAAGACUGACGCUCAGGUGCGAAAGCGUGGGGAGCAAACGGGAUUAGAUACCCGUGUAGUCC
RNAcentral lists this ribosomal RNA (473 nucleotides) under uncultured organism. RNAcentral describes it as "partial 16S ribosomal RNA". It matches the Rfam family "Bacterial small subunit ribosomal RNA", at positions 331 to 796 of the family's 1533-position model. The record is from RNAcentral.